AAAGAGGAUUCGUCCAAUUGAAACAGAGGACAGUGGCGGACGGGUGAGUAACGCGUGAGGAACCUGCCUUUCAGAGGGGGACAACAGUUGGAAACGACUGCUAAUACCGCAUGACACAUAGAGAUCGCAUGGUUUUUAUGUCAAAGAUUUAUCGCUGAAAGAUGGCCUCGCGUCUGAUUAGCUAGUUGGUGAGGUAACGGCCCACCGUGCCGACAACGGGUAGCCGGGUUGAGAGACCGACCGGCCAGAUUGGGACUGAGACACGGCCCAGACUCC
This 276-nucleotide ribosomal RNA is filed under the name uncultured bacterium. RNAcentral's name for it is "partial 16S ribosomal RNA". It matches the Rfam family "Bacterial small subunit ribosomal RNA", at positions 71 to 339 of the family's 1533-position model. The record is from RNAcentral.